Molecule: ribosomal RNA, 450 nt
Filed under: uncultured bacterium
Lineage: Bacteria
Description: bacterial SSU rRNA
Rfam family: Bacterial small subunit ribosomal RNA
Source: RNAcentral
UCGAGAAUCUUUCACAAUGGGCGAAAGCCUGAUGGAGCGACGCCGCGUGGAGGAUGAAGGCCUUCGGGUUGUAAACUCCUGUCAUGAGGGAACAAGAAAGUGAUAGUACCUCAAGAGGAAGAGACGGCUAACUCUGUGCCAGCAGCCGCGGUAAUACAGAGGUCUCAAGCGUUGUUCGGAUUUACUGGGCGUAAAGCGCGUGUAGGCGGAUUUGUAAGUUGGGGGUGAAAUCCCGAGGCUCAACCUCGGAACUGCCUCCAAAACUACAAGUCUGGACCUAAGUAGAGGCAAGUGGAAUUGCGAGUGUAGAGGUGAAAUUCGUAGAUAUUCGCAGGAACACCAGUGGCGAAGGCGACUUGCUGGACUUAUGGUGACGCUGAGACGCGAAAGCGUGGGGAGCAAACAGGAUUAGAUACCCAUGUAGUCCCUGAGCGGGCUGGCAAGGCGCAU